Molecule: non-coding RNA, 206 nt
Filed under: Youngiibacter fragilis
Lineage: Bacteria; Bacillati; Bacillota; Clostridia; Eubacteriales; Clostridiaceae
Description: T-box sequence
Rfam family: T-box leader
About the family: Uncharged tRNA acts as the effector for transcription antitermination of genes in the T-box leader family. T-boxes are found upstream of many aminoacyl-tRNA synthetase genes and some amino acid biosynthetic genes usually in Gram-positive bacteria.
Source: RNAcentral
UAAAAUGCGUUGAGCAGGAAGAGUAAUUUUUCAAAACCGUACAGAGAGUGGCCGUCUGGUGCAAGGCCUCCGGAAAGGGAAAUGAAAAUCACCUGGGAGCAUGCAGGCCGAAAAUGAAGUAAGCCAGCACGGGAAUCCUCCGUUACAGGACAGGGCAUGAUGGUGCCUUUUGAAAUUAGGUGGUAUAGCGAGACCUCGCCCUAUUU